UGUUUGAGACAGGGCUCUCUCCAUGUAGCUCAGACUGUCCUGGAACUUGCUAUGGAGACCAGGCCGGCCUCACAGAGAUCCUCCUGCCUCUGCUUCCAAGUGCUGGGAAGAAAGGUGUGCAGCGCCACUCCCAGCCUCGUUCUCAUAUUUCUUUCUUAGAAGGAAAUGUUUGUGAUAGUAAAGAGCAGGCCUUUGUCUUUGGUAAAAUAAAAUUUGGAAAAUCUAUUUAGUCUCCUCUAGUCUCUUCGUUACCCAAAGCAAUGUGAGACAUGGGUAUAGAAGUCUCUGGUCUGGUUCACCCAGCAUUGUGCUGUGUUCAGUGGGUGCUCACCAGCAAGCCCUCUGCUUUUAAUUUCAAUAGAGACAGGAUACAACCAUUUCCCAUAAUAAGCGCCGCCGGCGAUUAGUUUGGCUCCUUCUCUCACACUUUCACACCUGCGUCUUUGUCACACACACACACACACACACACACACACACACAUCCCACCUUCCUGCGUCUGUGUGGUUCCAUCUGCAUCCAUGCUGCCCACCCAAGAUGUGACAGGACGUUUAUGUGAAGGGCCAGGAGGGGCCUGACGUGGAAUCGUUUGGCUCUGUGGACAAUGUUAUCACCGGCUCAGCUACCCAGCUCUUUCAGGGGAAGCCAGCACAGAUAACUCAAGAACAAACGAGUGUAAUGGCGGUCCACGAAACUUCAUUCACCCAGACAGGUAGAUAAGUGAGAUCAGAACAUGAUGAGAAAUCCACAAAGAAUCGAUAAAGGUUAAACAAACAAACAAAUAAACCAAGCAACCCUUCACCCCAGAGCAGGCAGCUGGUACUACUGGAGCUGCAGCAGGUAGCCUCCACACCAAGUCUUUGAGCACCUUUAAGUCAGGGCGCACAACUCCUCUGCCUACAACACCCCAGCAGCAUCUCGCUUUGUUCAAAGUAAAGGCCAAGAGGGGUCCACCUGCCUGUAAGUCCCAGACAAGCUCCGGGUGCCCAGCGCUCUCAACACCUGGCUCUGACCUCAGUGCCAACUGGGCUCUGAGUCCCAGGGCUGCCUUUACUUUUUCCUUAGCCUGCCAGUCCCUCCCCCUCGGAGACCUUCAGACCUCUUCUCGACACCACCUCAGCCAGAGAAGCCUUUGGCGCACCAGGGAGCUCCUCUGCUUCCCUCUGGGUUGCCACACAGCACACCUCCUCUCUUUCCCGUUAAAACUCUCACUACAGAACUUACCCCAUCUGACACAUCAAGCAUUUACGCAGUGCCCCAUCUAUGACUGGUCUUAGUCUGCUAUAAUUCAGGCCUAUUAGGGAAAAACCUGCAUUAUUCUUUGUUUCAUUUCUAAAGCCUAUUAAAGUGCCAGCAUGCCUGCCGGAAAGUUUUUGUUGUUGUUGUUGUUGUUUUUCUUUUUUUGUUAAUAGGGAUCUCCCCCCCUUUCUGGUUUAUUAUUUAUGUGUGUGUGUGUGUUCCAUAGAGUCCAGAAGAGGGUAUCAGAUCCUCUAGAACUGGAGUUACAGGUGAUUGUGAGCUGCUAGGUGCUUGGAACCAAACUUGGGGCCUCUAGAAGAACAGCAAGUGCUCUCUAGACUACUGAGCCAUCUCUACAGCCCCAACAAAAGUUCUUCUAUCUAGUAGGCGGUGGGUAAAUAUUUGUAGAAUGAAGGAAUGUAAGAAGCAAAGGAAAGAACUGCUAACUCAGGGGGAAAGAGGGAUCAGUGAGAGCCAGCAUUGUUUGCACCGACUCAAGGAAAGCCUUGAGUGCUAGAAGUACCCAAGAAAGGGGCGUGGUCUAACAGGUUAACUUCAUCAAGACCAUCAACAGCCUCAAACUUUCACACCAUGCACGUGAUCUGCGUAAAAGCAGGGGCUUGUUAGGCAAAACCUUAACCCCAGGGAAUCACGUUGUUCUUCUUGAGCUUCCUUGGUAUAAAAUUUUGAAGCUGUCAUGGUCAGCACUCAUUGCACCUUUAAAGCAGGAGUACAAGAAGACUGUAUUAGUAAUGAAAGAAAUGAUUUUGGCAUCUCCUAGCCAAGUUGGGAGUAGACGGGUUCAGACAAUGGCCAUCUUUGGGUGGAAGACCCAUCGGGAGCCUUGUGCAAUGAUUUAAAUCAAGUUAUAAAGAAGAAUCGAGCGGGGCUGGGGUGUGAGAGGGAGAGGAAGAGAUUUGCUGUUGACGUCCGAAGGAGGAACUGAUGUAGCCAUGUGACUUAACUCAAAGUCACCAACAAAGCAACAAGAGGCUAGAGACAUCAUCAAUGUUCAUGAAUAUGUGAGCGGUUAAUUAAACCAGGCAAUAGCAUAUUACACAAGAAAGAAUGAGGCCUUAGAUCUGCGUUCAGAGACACAGGCGAGGAGCCAAGGGAGACAGCUACAGUCAGAUUCCAGUUCUGUGAAAAGACACACGCAUUUGAAAGGGACCUGACCACUUCCUCUGGCCUCUACAGGGACCUGACUGGCUCCACUGGCCUCUACAGGGACCUGACUGGCUCCCCUGGCCUCUACAGAGACCUGACAUCCCUCUUUGGCCUCCACAGGGACCUGACCACUUCCUCUGGCCUCUAUGGGGACCUAACAGCCUCCUCUGGCCUCCACAGGCACCAGUCAUAAAUAUGCCUAGCCUCUGUGAUGUGGUUUGAAAGUUCUCUCUAGACCGCUUGUCUCCAGACGACAGUUCCAGCACUCCACCCCCACACCACCUGUGUCAGUCAGGCCGCUGUUUCAACAGAAGCUUUGUAGAAACUGUGGAAUGCUGCGUACACGUCAGCUCUGCUUCUUCAUGCGGGGGCUGAGAUGUUUUCUCUUUUGCUCAUUCUUCAGGGACCUCAGCUGGGACCUGUUGGAAUCUGAAGGUGCCACUUUUCCCUCUCUAGGUGCUCCUCUGGGGAAAUGGCAUCACCUGUUGCCCAGUCAAAAACCCUGGAGCCAUUCCUGCCCCCCCAAACCCGCCGCGUAUUCUGUCCGCAAGUAUUCACUGGUGUCCCUUGCCUUCCCUGUCAUGGGCACUGACUCUGAUUCAGCCUUGCCUCGGUCACGUUGACAGCCUCCCACCCGCCUUGUGCCCAGGGUUCCACCCCCACCUACUAUACCGUGCUCCCUAUAUCACUUUCCACCAUUCAGACCCUUGCCUCUUCACUGUCCCAAGUCCAGGAUUUUCUACCUGGCAGAGGCCUUCCAGGACUGGAACUAUACCGCACUGCGUUUCCACCACCAGCUUGCUUGACUCCCCUGCAAUGUCCAACAUUGUCAAGCCUUUAAGAUCCUCUUAGGUGUUAGGAUAGCUCCUCUCUCUCUGCUUGGGAAUCGACUCACACCUAUUUGUGUUAAAAAUAACAAUAGUGCAUUUAAGUAUGAUUUUCUGAGAACAUGCCCUGCCCCUUUCCAGGUCUGAUUUCAGUGUUCCUCCCUGGCAUUUCCACAGAACUCUGCGGACGUCAGAGAUCCCGGCUUCUGCUGUUAGUGCUGGCUUGUUUGUCUCCCUCGAUUACAAUAUAAGGUGUUUAAGGACUUUGCUUCUGGACCCCUAGUUCCCAGCCUCCACCAGCGUGUUACAAGAAUUCAUGCUGAAAAGCAAUGAACUCAUCUCUGCUUUCAUGUUUUGUUGACUCAAGAGCAGGAAAAGGACGGUGUGGGGUUUUAGGCUCCAAGGCUCUUGUAGCUGCCUCCCCUCAUCCUACUUCCAAGAUCGUGACCAUUGGUUUGGCGACACGUUGCCUCAGACUGCUCUCUGGCCAAUGGAACGAACGCUUGUGUAGUGUGGACUCUGGAUCCGUUCUGUGUACUGGCCUUGCCUCAUCUGUACACAGUCUGCCCUGCAGUAAUCCUCUGGCCAGGAGUAAAGGGCUUUUUUCGACUUUGGAGAGAUGAAUGUGAUGUAUGUUUACUGAUCAGACCUCAGUGAGGCUAUCGGGAAUCAGGCGGAGGGUUAAUUGGAAACUAGGACCACGGCUCUAACCGAUCUGGUCCUUUGAGAGAGGGGCUGUUGCAUGCCGGGCUUUGAGUCGUCCUAUUGACUAGAGCAGGUAAAUGGGUCUCAUUGAUUCUAAGAUACCGUUUUUUUUUUUCUUUUUGACAUUUUAAUGUCUCUGAAACAGGAAUACAGUAUCCUAUUUAUUUUUAUUUUUUUGUAUACUCUGUUCUGCCUGCAGGCCAGAAGAGGGCAUAGAUCUCAUUUCAAAUGGUUGUGAGCCACCUUGUGGUUGCUGGGAAUUGAACUCAGGACCUCUGGAAGAGUAGUCAGUGUUCUUAACCUCUGAGCCAUCUCUCCAGCACUGAAAUAUAAUAUGUUAAUAAGAAAGUGUAAAGUAGAAACCAAAAUUGUCUAAUAGUCUCUAUGGUUGAGGGAUGAAUUAAAAAGCUACAUGGGUCAUUUAUAUAGACUAAUAGCAAUUUCCUGAAGGGUCCUGACCCAUAGGGUUGGACAUCCCCUACAAGCUAUGUUGAACUUGGUUCACAGGCUUAGAUUCAGAGUAUUUGGAUUCCAAGGAAACUGAGGGUUCAAGAACAGCAUCCUGCAGGACGAGACAUCUCUAAAGGAGAGCUGGAGGGGACAUGUCACUUCCACUCAACCUAACACAAUAGUAUAGCAGAUUAAUAAAAACUCAGAGACAGGUAUUGGAGUUCAACCCGAAGACCAGAAAAACAAAGCAGCCAGCCAUCAUCUCUUACCUCUACUUCAGUCCGAAAAUGGUGAUCCUGCCUCCAGGAAUCCUCAGUAUGAGACUGAGCCUGAAGACUGUCCCAUCCUGUCUUAUAUUCCUCUCUAGCGCUGGAAUUAAAGGUGUGCACCACUACUUCCCGGUUUCUAUGGCAAACUAGUGUGGUUGCUGGGAUUAAAGGUGUGUGCCACCUCUGCCUGGUCUGUAUGGCUGAUCAGUGUGGCUUUUUUUAUUCUCUGAUUGUCAAGAAAGAUUUAUUUUUUAGAAUACAAACAAAUUAUCAGUACACAAUAGGGCCUGGUUCAGGUCAUAUUGCUAUUUAGUCCUCGAAAACCAAAGAACCAAUGUCAGCGAGAGGUGGUGACACACAUCUUUAGUCCCAGCACCCAGAAAGCUGAUGAAGGAGAACCGCAUAUUUGAGGCAAGUCUGGACUUCGUAUUAAAAUCCCCUCUCCCCAUCAAAAGAAAGGCGAGUGUCUGAUUUAAUUGAGAAGAUCUGCAGAAUGGAUCUCAGGAAGUUCAUCAAAGGCUUAGCACUAAAGUCCUCUUGGCUGUACAGAUGAAAUGAUGUCCUCUCUAGAGAACUGGAUAGCAGAAACCCCAAGGCUUUGUGUCAGUAGCUGGGCUUUUUGCCUGAGAUCAGGACAAACCUGGUCAAACUUCCUACCCUCUGAGCAUCAGUGUUUUUUUUUUUCCUCCUAUACCUCACAGUGUUUUCAGGGAGAGGUGAAAUAGGAUGACAGCUGCCUGCUUAAUGAGUGGAAGAUGCUGUUGUUGAUGGAGCCAAACUCGCCUGAGGGAGAGCGCUUUUAGGAUCUCCUGGGGAUGCUAUGCUGUGCCACAGGACAUUCUUUGGGGUGAAGAGAUGCUGUAAAUUUAUAUAAUAAAAGUAACUUUAUCAUUAUCCCUGACUCACACUCAGAGAACCAUCGUCUGCACUGCUUUGCCAGGGCCUCUUCGUUUGGCUGUGAUGUUUCUCGUGAGUAAUUAGGAGAGUUGGAAACUAAGAAAUCAAACUACCUGACCGGGAAGGGAGGGAGGAAGGGGACAGGGAACAGGAAAAGACCAUCAGCUUGGAAAUAGGGAACUGGGUGGGAGGGGUUCGAGUCAGAGAAAGAGAAGAGAAGUCUGGGGCUGGAGGGAUUGCCACAGGGAUUUUUAUAGACGUUUACCUUUGCGAUGUGUGUGGCUAUCCUUCCUUCCAUACACGCAAGAAAUCCUCAGAUUAGGUCUCCCACUGGCCUGAAACUCACCAACUGAGGCUAGGCUGGCUGUCCAGCAAGUCUGAGGGGUCUACAUGAUCUGCCUCCCCAGGACAGAUAGUACAAUCUCAUCGCCUCAUCGGCCUUCUUCACAUGGGUUUUGAGUCGACACCCAGGCCCUCAAGCCUGCUCUGCUAGCACUUUAUCCAUCCAGCUGUCAUAUCUAUAGUUAUAGCUAUAUAUUUACCUAUAUAGCUAUCUAUGUAGCCUAACUCAUGUUCUGAAGCUGGCAAUGCUGCCAAGACAGAAGAUGGAGUGGCCGAGGCUCUUUGGUAGACUCUGGCUCUGGGAAUCAGAAGAUUAGUAACAGUUGACAGUUAAAACUGAAGACAUCUGUGUCUGUGUUUUA
This is a long non-coding RNA of Alexandromys fortis (reed vole), 6256 nucleotides long. RefSeq lists it as uncharacterized. The transcript has 3 exons. NCBI's taxonomy places the organism in Eukaryota, Metazoa, Chordata, Mammalia, Rodentia, Cricetidae. The record is from RefSeq and is a predicted model, not a curated record.